UACGUAGGGACCAAGCGUUGUUCGGAUUUACUGGGCGUAAAGGGCGCGUAGGCGGUGUGUUAAGUCACUUGUGAAAUCUCUAAGCUUAACUUAGAACGGUCAAGUGAUACUGAUGUGCUAGAGUGCAGAAGGGGCAACCGGAAUUCUUGGUGUAGCGGUGAAAUGCGUAGAUAUCAAGAGGAACACCUGAGGUGAAGACGGGUUGCUGGGCUGACACUGACGCUGAGGCGCGAAAGCUAGGGUAGCAAACGGG
RNAcentral lists this ribosomal RNA (253 nucleotides) under uncultured bacterium. RNAcentral describes it as "partial 16S ribosomal RNA". It matches the Rfam family "Bacterial small subunit ribosomal RNA", at positions 524 to 776 of the family's 1533-position model. The record is from RNAcentral.